AUUGAACGCUGGCGGCAGGCUUAACACAUGCAAGUCGAGCGGAGCGAGGGUGCUUGCACCUUAGCUUAGCGGCGGACGGGUGAGUAAUGCUUAGGAAUCUGCCUAUUAGUGGGGGACAACAUUCCGAAAGGGAUGCUAAUACCGCAUACGCCCUACGGGGGAAAGCAGGGGAUCUUCGGACCUUGCGCUAAUAGAUGAGCCUAAGUCGGAGUAGCUAGUUGGUGGGGUAAAGGCCUACCAAGGUGACGAUCUGUAGCGGGUCUGAGAGGGUGAUCCGCCACACUUGGUAUGAGACACGGCCCAGACUCCUACUGGAGGCAGAAGUGGGGAAUAUUGGACAAUGGGCGGAAGCCUGAUCCAGCCAUGCCGCGUGUGUGAAGAAGGCCUUUUGGUUGUAAAGCACUUUAAGCGAGGAGGAGGCUACUAGUAUUAAUACUACUGGAUAGUGGACGUUACUCGCAGAAUAAGCACCGGCUAACUCUGUGCCAGCAGCCGCGGUAA
Molecule: ribosomal RNA, 501 nt
Filed under: uncultured bacterium
Lineage: Bacteria
Description: partial 16S ribosomal RNA
Rfam family: Bacterial small subunit ribosomal RNA
Source: RNAcentral